GUGUACCGGAUGGUUUAUUUUUAUGGGCCUUUUGUGCGCUAUAUAAACAAAAAUUAUACAACUUUCAGCAACGGAUCUCUUGGCUCUCGCAUCGAUGAAGAACGCAGCGAAAUGCGAUAAGUAAUGUGAAUUGCAGAAUUCAGUGAAUCAUCGAAUCUUUGACGCACCUUGCGCUCCUUGGUAUUCCGAGGAGCAUGCCUGUUUGAGUGUCAUUAAAUUCUCAAGAAAACCUUUGGUAGGUAAUAUCAAUGGUCUUUUUUGGAUGUGAGGGUUUGUUGGCGAAAGUCAACUCUCUUGAAAUGCAUUAGCUUGGUUGACUAUUGACUUUGUCUAUUGGUGUGAUAAUUAUCUACGCCAUUGGGAUUGUCUGCUUGUCAAACUGCUUCUAAUUAUCCUUUAUUGGGACUUUUUAAAUGACCAUUGACCUCAAUCAGUA
RNAcentral lists this ribosomal RNA (436 nucleotides) under uncultured Basidiomycota. RNAcentral's name for it is "eukaryotic LSU rRNA". The stretch from base 60 to 212 matches the Rfam family "5.8S ribosomal RNA". The record is from RNAcentral. Lineage: Eukaryota; Fungi; Basidiomycota.